GGAGAUUUGUUCAUUCGUGAAGGCUAUCAGUUUGACUAUGUCAUUGAUUGGACCAUAUUAAAGUAUCCACAAAUUGGUGCAAGCUCCAGAACACGGAUUCAAAGUGUGAAUAUUGGUCAAAAUGUUGGGACAUCUGCAGAAAAACCAGGAAGAACGUCAGG
Long non-coding RNA from Helianthus annuus (common sunflower), 161 nucleotides. RefSeq lists it as uncharacterized. The record is from RefSeq and is a predicted model, not a curated record. Lineage: Eukaryota; Viridiplantae; Streptophyta; Magnoliopsida; Asterales; Asteraceae. The transcript has 3 exons.